UACAGAGGUGGCAAGCGUUGUUCGGAAUUACUGGGCGUAAAGGGCGCGUAGGCGGUCUUUCGAGUCCCGUGUGAAAUCCCUCGGCUCAACUGAGGAACUGCACGGGAAACUGUCUGGCUUGAGUUCGAGAGAGGGAAGCGGAAUUCCGGGUGUAGCGGUGAAAUGCGUAGAUAUCCGGAGGAACACCGGUGGCGAAGGCGGCUUCCUGGACCGACACUGACGCUGAGGCGCGAAAGCUAGGGGAGCAAACGGG
This 253-nucleotide ribosomal RNA is filed under the name uncultured bacterium. Its description in RNAcentral is "partial 16S ribosomal RNA". It matches the Rfam family "Bacterial small subunit ribosomal RNA", at positions 524 to 776 of the family's 1533-position model. The record is from RNAcentral.